RNAcentral lists this transfer-messenger RNA (277 nucleotides) under Nannocystaceae bacterium. RNAcentral describes it as "partial transfer-messenger RNA". It matches the Rfam family "transfer-messenger RNA", at positions 1 to 288 of the family's 374-position model. From Rfam's summary of the family: Bacterial tmRNA, also known as 10Sa RNA or SsrA, is named for its dual tRNA and mRNA-like properties. Its role is to liberate the mRNA from a stalled ribosome. The record is from RNAcentral. Lineage: Bacteria; Pseudomonadati; Myxococcota; Nannocystales; Nannocystaceae.
GGGGGUGUCACGGUUUCGACGGGGGCACCGAACGAAGAGACUGCGUGUCGCGGAUCCCGAGCCUCCGCGUCAAAACGACUCGGGAAACAGUAGCUGCGAACGACAGCAACUACGGCCGUAUGGCCCUCGUCGCCUAAGAACCGACGACGUGAGCAGGUGAGGAGCUCGACUAGCCUGCAAGCGUGGACACACGAGCUGGUCGCCACGGUCGCCGCACCGUGCUGACGAGACCAAGCGGCUGGGCAACCGGGUCGCCUGCCGAUGGGCGUGCCGGGAG